Nerophis ophidion (straightnose pipefish) is the source of this 3194-nucleotide long non-coding RNA. RefSeq lists it as uncharacterized. The record is from RefSeq and is a predicted model, not a curated record. Lineage: Eukaryota; Metazoa; Chordata; Actinopteri; Syngnathiformes; Syngnathidae. The transcript has 2 exons.
UGCCCUUCUUAAUCUCUAUUUUAAACACCUGUAGCGAUGGAGCAGCCAUCUUUGAUGCCCUUCUUAAUCUCUAUUUUAAACACCUGUAGCGAUCUAAUGGCCAUGUUUGAUGCCCUUCUUUACCCCUCUCUCUAUUUUAAACACCUGUAGCGAUGUAACGGCCAUGUUUGAUGCCCUUCUUUACCCCUCUCUCUAUUUUAAACACCUGUAGCGAUGUUACGGCCAUGUUUGAUGCCCUUCUUUACCCCUCUCUCUAUUUUAAACACCUGUAGCGAUGUAACGGCCAUGUUUGAUGCCCUUCUUUACCCCUCUCUCUAUUUUAAACACCUGUAGCGAUGUAACGGCCAUGUUUGAUGCCCUUCUUUACCUCUCUCUCUAUUUUAAACACCUGUAGCGAUGUAACGGCCAUGUUUGAGAGCCCUUCUUUACCCCUCGCUCUAUUUUAAACACCUGUAGCGAUGGAGCAGCCAUCUUUGAUGCCCUUCUUUAUCUCUCUCUAUUUUAAAACACCUGUACCGAUGUAACGGCCAUGUUUGAUGCCCUUCUUUAUGUCUCUCUCUAUUUUAAACACCUGUAGCGAUGUAACGGCCAUGUUUGAUGCCCUUCUUUACCUCUCUCUCUAUUUUAAACACCUGUAGCGAUGUAACGGACAUGUUUGAUGCCCUUCUUUACCUCUCUCUAUUUUAAACACCUGUAGCGAUGUAACGGCCAUGUUUGAUGCCCUUCUUUACCCCUCUCUAUUUUAAACACCUGUAGCGAUGUAACGGCCAUGUUUGAUGCCCUUCUUUACCCCUCGCUCUAUUUUAAACACCUGUAGCGAUGUAACGGCCAUGUUUGAUGCCCUUCUUUACCUCUCUCUCUAUUUUAAACACCUGUAGCGAUGUAACGGCCAUGUUUGAUGCCCUUCUUUACCCCUCGCUCUAUUUUAAACACCUGUAGCGAUGUAACGGCCAUGUUUGAUGCCCUUCUUUACCUCUCUCUCUAUUUUAAACACCUGUAGCGAUGUAACGGCCAUGUUUGAUGCCCUUCUUUACCUCUCUCUCUAUUAGCUCCUCCAUAGAGAUUUCCUCCUCUUUCUCCUCCUUCUUCUUGUCUUUCUUCAGCACGAAGCCGGGCGGCAGGGCAUGGCGGUACAUGCAGGUGUCGCCCCCUGCUGGGCACACCCAGAACCAGCCAUAUUUGUUGUUCUCAAUGGCCUCCAGGAAGAAUUUACACACCUGUGCAAAAUCAAAGCAGUUGCUCCCCUUUCAUCCACAUGAGAACCGAUCAAGAACCGCACAUUGAAGUAGAACCCUAAGCAUCUUCUCAGUGAGUCUACUUGAGGUGUGUGCCUCUGAGGACUUGAAGUCCACCUGUGAGUACUUGGAGGUGUACUGUGAUCAACAUUUGAAACGGGUCUUACGAUCUGAGUUUUGACUUUCUUGUCAGCCUCGCCGUGCUUCUUGUUGACCACCUCCUCCAGCUUCUUCUCGUCCCAGUUGUCCAUGGUGUCUAGGCCGGGACAGGACUCCAUUGUUAUCCUUCAUUCUGCACGGCCAGACGCCGGGCUCACCUUUCUCCAGCUCCUCGUCCCUCUGGUCCACGUAGACGCUCUUCUUCUCGCACUUCCUCUCCAUGGACAGGUCGUGGCUGAACUUGCACUUGUCCCCUUUGGUGCACUGGCCCUGCUUGAAGAAGGCGCACAGCACCGACUUGGGAUCCACGCCUGAAGGACACAAAAGAGUUGAAGAAGAAGAAGAAGAAAGACUUGGAGGUCCUCCAAACAUCAAGCAGGUGAGGAACCUUUGCUGACUUUCUGAGCGGCGACUACGGGCUUGAAGAGCUCAUUGAGCUCAUCCAACUCUUUCUUCUUGUCCGUCUUCUUGGCGGUCUUGUCACCCUCCACCUGAGACGCACACACAUGGUCUUCUCCUCUACGUCCUAGCAGAAGAAGAAGUGUCGACCUCACCUGUCGGACGUUUUGCGGUCCAGAUUUCACUUGCUGUGUCACGUUCUUGAUGAACUUUUGUUGUUUGGCCCCUUUCUUGUUCUUCAAGCCAAACGUUUUGUCCUGCAGUGAAAACAUAUUCCAUGAAGGCCACAGAGAGAAGGUUUCUACUCAAGAUGUCCGCACAAUUUACAAUUGUAAUUGACACCACUGACUUAAACCUUUGCUAAGCCACACAUUACACCUCAUUUUAUUUGCUCUUCUACACGCCGAGUACAUUUUAUUAUUAUUUUACACUCCUAGUACAUUUGAUUAUGUUUUUACUCGACAGGUACAUUUUAUUUGCUCUUCUACACGCCGAGUACAUUUUAGUUUUUUACAUGUUAGGUACAUUUUAUUUUGUUUUUUACUCAUCAGGUAUAUUUUAUUUUGUCUUCUACAAGUCAGGUACAUUUUAUUUAGUUUUUUACACGUCAGAUACAUUUUAUUUUGUAUUUUUACACAUUAGGUACAUUUUAUUUUUUAUUUUUACACAUUAGGUACAUUUUAUUUUUUAUUUUACCUGUCAGGUACAAUCUUAGAUCUUUAACACAUCAUGUACAUUUUAUUUUGUUAUUACCAGAAUAAAUACACUGUAUUAUUUUUAUUUUUUUUUACACAUCAGGUACAUUUUAUUUUGUUAAUUACCUGAACAGGUAAAUCUUUUUAUGAUUAUUUUUUCAAACGGUAGUUACAUUUGAUUUCUUUAUUUGCCCGAAGAAGGCAGCCAACAUACUCAAGGACCCGUGCCACCCCAGCACAGCCACUUCCAACCAUGCGAACCCACACAAAUAGACUCAAGAACAGUUUCUACCCCCGGGACAUAACUGCACUAAACGCAGCUGGAAUGUAAAAAAAGAAAUAAAAUACAAAUAAAAACACCCUCAUGUGCAAGAUGAGGAAGCCACGAUCUGGACUGUGUAAUGAGUGGUCACAUGCCAACUGGACAACAUUUACCAUGUGUAUUUACAUAUUUAAUCCAGAAUAAAAAGCCUGCACAGCACAGGAAGUAAGAACUACUGACUCCCAGCCACUCAGCACACUGGGAACCAGCAUUAUUCCUCUCUAGUCAGUUUACUAGUCACUUUAUACUUUUUAUUGUCUCCUUUUUUACAUUCCUCUUAGAGUGGUCUUAGGCCAUAUUGUACAUUACAUAUUGUGUUCUUUCUGUAUAUUGUGUGGUUUCUUCUUUAUUAAAUGCAAAACACCUCAGGGAAGCAACCUAAAA